This 253-nucleotide ribosomal RNA is filed under the name uncultured bacterium. Its description in RNAcentral is "partial 16S ribosomal RNA". It matches the Rfam family "Bacterial small subunit ribosomal RNA", at positions 524 to 776 of the family's 1533-position model. The record is from RNAcentral.
GACGUAGGGCGCGAGCGUUGUCCGGAUUUAUUGGGCGUAAAGAGCUCGUAGGCGGCUUGUCGCGUCGGCUGUGAAAUCCCGUGGCUCAACUGCGGGUCUGCAGCCGAUACGGGCAGGCUAGAGUUCGGUAGGGGAGACUGGAAUUCCUGGUGUAGCGGUGAAAUGCGCAGAUAUCAGGAGGAACACCGGUGGCGAAGGCGGCUUCCUGGACCGACACUGACGCUGAGGCGCGAAAGCUAGGGGAGCAAACGGG